AACGAACGCUGGCGGCAUGCCUAACACAUGCAAGUCGAACGAGACCUUCGGGUCUAGUGGCGCACGGGUGCGUAACGCGUGGGAACCUGCCUUUAGGUUCGGAAUAACUCAGAGAAAUUUGAGCUAAUACCGGAUGAUGUCUUCGGACCAAAGAUUUAUCGCCUUUAGAUGGGCCCGCGUUGGAUUAGCUAGUUGGUGGGGUAAAGGCCUACCAAGGCGACGAUCCAUAGCUGGUCAGAGAGGAUGAUCAGCCACACUGGGACUGAGACACGGCCCAGACUCCUACGGGAGGCAGCAGUGGGGAAUAUUGGACAAUGGGCGAAAGACUGAUCCAGCAAUGCCGCGUGAGUGAUGAAGGCCUUAGGGUUGUAAAGCUCUUUUAACCGAGAUGAUAAUGACAGUAUCGGGAGAAUAAGCUACGGCUAACUCCGUG
This 433-nucleotide ribosomal RNA is filed under the name uncultured bacterium. RNAcentral's name for it is "partial 16S ribosomal RNA". It matches the Rfam family "Bacterial small subunit ribosomal RNA", at positions 29 to 507 of the family's 1533-position model. The record is from RNAcentral.